AAAUUGAAGAGUUUGAUCAUGGCUCAGAUUGAACGCUGGCGGCAGGCCUAACACAUGCAAGUCGAGCGGAAACGAGUUAUCAGAACCUUCGGGGGACGAUAACGGCGUCGAGCGGCGGACGGGUGAGUAAUGCCUAGGAAAUUGCCCUGAUGUGGGGGAUAACCAUUGGAAACGAUGGCUAAUACCGCAUGAUGCCUACGGGC
RNAcentral lists this ribosomal RNA (203 nucleotides) under Vibrio parahaemolyticus O4:K12 str. K1203. RNAcentral's name for it is "partial 16S ribosomal RNA". It matches the Rfam family "Bacterial small subunit ribosomal RNA", at positions 1 to 187 of the family's 1533-position model. The record is from RNAcentral. Lineage: Bacteria; Pseudomonadati; Pseudomonadota; Gammaproteobacteria; Vibrionales; Vibrionaceae.